CCUACGGGAGGCAGCAGUCGAGAAUCAUUCACAAUGGGGGAAACCCUGAUGGUGCGACGCCGCGUGGGGGAAUGAAGGUCUUCGGAUUGUAAACCCCUGUUAUGUGGGAGUAAAUUAAAAAGAUAGUACCACAAGAGGAAGAGACGGCUAACUCUGUGCCAGCAGCCGCGGUAAUACAGAGGAUGCGAGCGUUAUCCGGUUUUAUUGGGUUUAAAGGGUGCGCAGGCGGAAGAUCAAGUCAGCGGUAAAAUUGAGAGGCUAAACCUCUUCGGGCCGUUGAAACUGGUUUUCUUGAGUGAGCGAGAGGUAUGCGGAAUGCGUGGUGUAGCGGUGAAAUGCAUAGAUAUCACGAAGAACUCCGAUUGCGAAGGCAGCAGACCGGCGCUCAACUGACGCUGAUGCACGAAAGUGUGGGUAUCGAACAGGAUUAGAUACCCGGGUAGUC
This 445-nucleotide ribosomal RNA is filed under the name uncultured bacterium. RNAcentral describes it as "partial 16S ribosomal RNA". It matches the Rfam family "Bacterial small subunit ribosomal RNA", at positions 338 to 795 of the family's 1533-position model. The record is from RNAcentral.